Molecule: long non-coding RNA, 1247 nt
Organism: Oncorhynchus tshawytscha (Chinook salmon)
Lineage: Eukaryota; Metazoa; Chordata; Actinopteri; Salmoniformes; Salmonidae
Source: Ensembl
UGGCAGGUGUGUCUUCUAACAAACUCUAUCGUCAAGUAUAAAAACAGGCAAGUUUGCGGGCUCCUCCGCUGUGUUCUGGUCCUUCACGAACUCGGACAGGUGGGAAUACACCAAACGCUCAGAUGAAACUCCGAGACAUUCGAAGAAAGUGUGUGCCAAUGAAAACCUGGUCCAUCCUAACCAAAGCCGAUCAAGACAAGAAUCACAGACUAAUGCCAACUGUCUACGCUGUCAUCUAACUCAACUGUACUUUAAUUCCAUCCAUCUGAACAACUUUCCAUGACAUGCAUCUUAUUUAUAUAGACUCAGUGGAUGGCUGGCGGAUCUUAUUCAGCCCUGGGGUUGAAGUUUUGUACAAGUGCUACUGCCAGCAUUAGCAGUCAUUGCUGUAUUUUUCCCCCCAUGAAUUUGAAAUAUAAUGACAUAUUUCUGUUGAUUUAAAAAAAAUUAUAUUAAUAUGAUAAAUACCUUUUUGAUCUUUGAACUGUCUUUAUCCAUAUAAAAAUGUGGAAGACCUGUUAAUUAUUUUGUCAUUUGAUAAUUUGCAAAGGGAAUAGAGCAUUUGAAGCUUUAAAAACGUCUUAAAAAAAUAUUUUGAACAUAUGAAUUAUUAUCCUUUACAAACCAAAUUUGUGUUUUCACAAAUCUCUUUCCUCGUGUCCUUUAUUUGAGCAUAAUACUGUACAUUCAACCUUUUGGAAUUACUGAUGAGUUCAUAAACACAACAUAUAAGAGCAAGGAAUAUACAAUAAAAAGGAGAGAUUCCUAUUUAAAGUAUGGAAACUCCAGAAGAAGGGAUCUAAUUCGGCACUAGACGGGAUUCGAAACACCACAAUAAUGUUUGAGCUUUUGAGAGCGGGAACGACACCAAAAGAGAAGGGAUCUAAUUCUGCACGACUCGAAACGCCGUAAUAGUGUUUCCAACAUUUUCCAGGUUAAUGUACCCAGUCUCUGCCAAGGUGUUACACAACUCUUGAUUAUGUGGUUUACAACACACCAUGUCAUGUUUCAGAAUGCCUCAGAAUGAAUAUUUCAGUACACCUUAAAUCUGUCCCAAUACCCUCUCAACCAUGUGUUAAAAUACUCCAGAAAUGUUGAGGUUUCAUCCCCUUUAAGGUGGUGGCAGUUCAGUUGUCGCUAGUUGUAGUGUUACAAAGCACUUAAUUUUAACAGUGCACCCCAUAAUGUCAAAGUGGAAUGAUGGUUUUAGAAUUGUUUUCGAAUUAAUAAAAAAAUUCAAGCUGAAA